GAUAAACGCUGGCGGCGUGCCUAAUGCAUGCAAGUCGCACGGGAGCGCCUUCGGGCGUCGACCGUGGCGGACGGGUGAGGAACACGUGGCUAACCUGCCCUUAUCUGGGGGAUACCCGCCGGAAACGGCGACUAAUACCGCAUGAGCUUGACUGCGGGGACGUGGUCAAGGAAAGGACUUCGGUCCGGGUGAGGAGGGGGCUGCGGCCGAUUAGCUAGCUGGUGGGGUAACGGCCUACCAGGGCGGUGAUCGGUAGCUGGUCUGAGAGGACGGCCAGCCACACGGGGACUGAGACACGGCCCCGACUCCUACGGGAGGCAGCAGCAAGGAAUUUUCUGCAAUGGGCGCAAGCCUGACAGAGCAACGCCGCGUGGGGGAUGACGCAUCUCGGUGUGUAAACCCCUUUUCCCUGGGACGAAGCCAAUGACGGUACCAGGGGAAGAAGGACCGGCUAACUACGUGCCAGCCGCCGCCGUAACAC
This 481-nucleotide ribosomal RNA is filed under the name uncultured bacterium. Its description in RNAcentral is "bacterial SSU rRNA". It matches the Rfam family "Bacterial small subunit ribosomal RNA", at positions 28 to 526 of the family's 1533-position model. The record is from RNAcentral.